Daphnia magna is the source of this 705-nucleotide long non-coding RNA. RefSeq lists it as uncharacterized. The transcript has 2 exons. The record is from RefSeq and is a predicted model, not a curated record. Lineage: Eukaryota; Metazoa; Arthropoda; Branchiopoda; Diplostraca; Daphniidae.
GACAAACAAUAACGCAAGAAUCAACAGACGUGCCUCAACUUGAAACGUAAAGCUAAAUAGCCAGCCGUUCGGACUAAAAUGUAGUUGAUCACACUAGACCGACAAUGGACCAAGAGUAGGAACUUUGUGUUAAAUCGAACUGUUCCAGGAAUUUCUGAGGGAAUCGAAAAUGGCAGUAAGAAUCUGAACGGGCUAGCGGAGCGCGGUCGUAAGCGUAAAUGGACAACAUGGAGCCUUCGAAACCGUAGCGCGCGAAACUGAAAUAAGUUAACCAACGCAGAGGGGAAGGUAUUGAAUCAAAGGUAACGAAAAAUCCAGGCACUAGAAAUAUGGGAACGGUACUAGUGACAGCUAGAAAAGAGGCCGUUUGGAUAUCGAAUGCAGCGCCGAAAAACAGACCGAGUCCUUGUCCCACUAGCGACAACCAGAUCAUAAUAACUAGCAGUUAUUGAUUGCAGAGUCAGAGACCAAUGUUUGGAAUCUGAUAUUCUAGCCCUCGAAACCCCGGCUGCCCUUCUGCUUCAACAAGGGUAUAAAGCAAUUAAAAUUUCAGGAGGUAAACAUUGAAAUUGAAACCAAAAACAAAUCAGACAUUUUUAGUUGGCUUUUUUGCUUAAUGUUAUUGUUACACUUAACUUUUGAAAACAUGGAAUGCAUAUGUUCAGGGUCAAGUUAAUGAAAUGGUUGAGUAAAAAAUGAAUUUUA